CCUACAAGUAGAUCACUUUUGAUCAAUCGUGACCAUUCAGUAUCUCCAAACCUCCCUCCUUUCGCAUGCUCUCGCAUCACUUUGGAGCAUUUUAUCAAAUCUAUAACCAGAUAUGGUUACUUCAUAGAACUGUGUGAAAAGUCCUUAGUUGGCCCCUUUUGCAUGCAAAAAUAUAGUGCAUGCCAUCCUCAUCCUUAACUAUUGGGAAUUGUGUCCUAAAAUCAAUCGUGUGAUAAUUGAAUUCAUCCUUGUAUAUUAAUUAUUAAUCAAUUGAAUAAUAUUUAUUCUGAUAUUUUUCAUCACAAAAUGAAUCUUCCUUGAACUCUUGUACUGUGAUGAAGUCCCUAAAACUAUACUAGUGUACGAUAAAGAGAGAAUUUAUCGUAUAGUUCUUAAACAUGUUCGCGACCAAAUGAUACGUCAUUACGAGACAAUGACGUUUAUCGAGUGAAGGUCAUUGUGUGCCAUAUGGGUUGGUUGUCCUCUUAACCAAGGAGUGUGGUGAUACUAGUAUGGCAUACAGGUGAGAUGUAGGAGUACAUCGUUACUGAACAAGUGACUCACCUGCUGAGCAUUCUGCUGUCAAAAGCUACUCGCGAAACACAUGGGUAUAAGUAUCAUUCAGACAUGAGAUCACCAUAGUAACUUACAAGCAACUCACUGUGCUUUGAUGCCGAACUAUCUGGAUUUCAAAUGCAAUGACGAAAGGCUACUGGGUACAGUCAAGUACUUGCGAAAUCUGUGUGCGGAUCAAAAUGUGAUUGACCCCUCUGGAUUAUUGGAGUUGAUGUAUCACUGUAUUUCAAUUUAGUAAAGUCUUGACCAAGGUAAUCCAUGAG
Molecule: long non-coding RNA, 839 nt
Filed under: Elaeis guineensis (African oil palm)
Lineage: Eukaryota; Viridiplantae; Streptophyta; Magnoliopsida; Arecales; Arecaceae
Description: long non-coding RNA (EGUI_LNC011282)
Source: RNAcentral